This 962-nucleotide ribosomal RNA is filed under the name Salmonella enterica subsp. enterica. Its description in RNAcentral is "bacterial LSU rRNA". It matches the Rfam family "Bacterial large subunit ribosomal RNA", at positions 690 to 1566 of the family's 2925-position model. The record is from RNAcentral. RNAcentral also lists the same sequence under 1 other name. Lineage: Bacteria; Pseudomonadati; Pseudomonadota; Gammaproteobacteria; Enterobacterales; Enterobacteriaceae.
GGGCGUUAAGUUGCAGGGUAUAGACCCGAAACCCGGUGAUCUAGCCAUGGGCAGGUUGAAGGUUGGGUAACACUAACUGGAGGACCGAACCGACUAAUGUUGAAAAAUUAGCGGAUGACCUGUGGCUGGGGGUGAAAGGCCAAUCAAACCGGGAGAUAGCUGGUUCUCCCCGAAAGCUAUUUAGGUAGCGCCUCGUGAAUUCAUCUCCGGGGGUAGAGCACUGUUUCGGCUAGGGGGCCAUCCCGGCUUACCAACCCGAUGCAAACUGCGAAUACCGGAGAAUGUUAUCACGGGAGACACACGGCGGGUGCUAACGUCCGUCGUGAAGAGGGAAACAACCCAGACCGCCAGCUAAGGUCCCAAAGUCAUGGUUAAGUGGGAAACGAUGUGGGAAGGCCCAGACAGCCAGGAUGUUGGCUUAGAAGCAGCCAUCAUUUAAAGAAAGCGUAAUAGCUCACUGGUCGAGUCGGCCUGCGCGGAAGAUGUAACGGGGCUAAACCAUGCACCGAAGCUGCGGCAGCGAACGUAUCACCCAAGACAACUUUACGGAGUUGACGAUUGACGGAGCGAAGCGACGUCAAAGCGUUCAUUAAAGUCGAGUUGGCUUAGGGAUACGUUCGUUGGGUAGGGGAGCGUUCUGUAAGCCUGUGAAGGUGGCCUGUGAGGGUUGCUGGAGGUAUCAGAAGUGCGAAUGCUGACAUAAGUAACGAUAAAGCGGGUGAAAAGCCCGCUCGCCGGAAGACCAAGGGUUCCUGUCCAACGUUAAUCGGGGCAGGGUGAGUCGACCCCUAAGGCGAGGCCGAAAGGCGUAGUCGAUGGGAAACGGGUUAAUAUUCCCGUACUUGGUGUUACUGCGAAGGGGGGACGGAGAAGGCUAUGUUGGCCGGGCGACGGUUGUCCCGGUUUAAGCGUGUAGGUGUGUGUUCCAGGUAAAUCCGGUUCACUUUAACACUGAGGCGUGA